Molecule: long non-coding RNA, 505 nt
Filed under: Panax ginseng (ginseng)
Lineage: Eukaryota; Viridiplantae; Streptophyta; Magnoliopsida; Apiales; Araliaceae
Description: long non-coding RNA (PGIN_LNC008943)
Source: RNAcentral
UCUAUGAUAAUAACCUAGUCCACGUCCAAUACCAACUAGUAUUGGAGACUCACUUUAUUUAUUUCUUUAUAAAUAAAUACAGAUUACAAAACAGAUUUUAACAAAAAUUAAUUAACAAUUAAGUUCCCUUGAGCUCUCUUGCUCCUUGUGCACCUAUGCACCCUUCAAGUAACUUUGCUUCCUUGAACCUGUUUGUAAACUACUUUUCUAAUCCACCAGGAUUAAAACCUUUAGACUACACUUAGUCUAACAAUAGAAAAAUCAAUACAAUAUAGAGGUCUAUGAUCAAUGCAAGAAUAAUCAAUUUAACAAUUAAAGGGUCAACUAUAUGCAAUGAUCAAGUAGCACAAAAUAAGCAAUUAAUUUCUUACCGAAUAUCACCUCAAAUAAUACAAGAAAUUAGACUGCUUAGCUUCUCAAUAAUUGCACUCAGUAAAUCAAUUUGCUCAAUAACAAUAAUAAGUGCAAUGAUAAUUUGCGAGUUCUGUAUUAAUCACUGAUCUCA